RNAcentral lists this ribosomal RNA (253 nucleotides) under uncultured bacterium. Its description in RNAcentral is "partial 16S ribosomal RNA". It matches the Rfam family "Bacterial small subunit ribosomal RNA", at positions 524 to 776 of the family's 1533-position model. The record is from RNAcentral.
UCCGGGGGGAGCAAGCGUUGUUCGGAUUCACUGGGCGUAAAGGGUGCGUAGGUGGUGAGGUAAGUCGGAUGUGAAAUCUCCGGGCUCAACCCGGAAACUGCAUUGGAAACUACCUUGCUUGAGGAUUUGAGGGGGGAUUGGAAUACUUGGUGUAGCAGUGAAAUGCGUAGAUAUCAAGUGGAACACCAGUGGCGAAGGCGAAUCCCGGGAAAAUACCUGACACUGAGGCACGAAAGCUAGGGGAGCAAACAGG